Molecule: ribosomal RNA, 1743 nt
Filed under: Candidatus Moranbacteria bacterium GW2011_GWC2_45_10
Lineage: Bacteria; Candidatus Moraniibacteriota
Description: bacterial LSU rRNA
Rfam family: Bacterial large subunit ribosomal RNA
Source: RNAcentral
GUUACUUAAUGCAUAUGGUGGAUGCCUUGACUGAAGUAAGCGAUGAAGGACGCAGCAGGCUGCGAUAAUCCUCGGGGAGCUGUCAAGCAAGCUUUGAUCCGUGGGUUUCCGAAUGGGGCAACCCUACGUCUUCGGACGUAAUCACUGACUGAAUCAAUAGGUCAGCGAAGCAGACCCUGGGAAUUGAAACAUCUUAGUACCAGGAGGAAAAGAAAACAAUUGUGAUUCCGCAAGUAGUGGCGAGCGAACGCGGAAGAGUCUAAACCGUAUCCUUCGGGAUGCGGGGUUGCGAGGUAGUCAUACUCGUUUGAUCGGGGUAUGUCAUGUUCCCUUAGCAAAAUCCUUUGGAAAGAGGAACCAUAGCGGGUAAUAGUCCCGUAUGUGAAAAGCGAACAUGCCAGAUGAGACUAUCCUCAAGUAGGGCGGGACCGGUGAAAUCCCGUCUGAAUCUGGGAGCACUACACUUCCAAGACUAAAUAUUACUUCAGAUCGAUAGCGAACUAGUACCGUGAGGGAAAGGUGAAAAGCAUCCCGGUGAGGGAGGUGAAAUAGAACUGAAACCAUGUGCUAACGAAGAGUUGGAGCGGUCGCUUGCGACCGUGACAGCGUGCUUUUUGCAGAACGAGCCAACGAGUUAGUUUUAUACGGCUUGUCUAAGGGGUCAAACCCCCGGAGACGUAGUGAAAGCGAGCCUUAAUAGGGCGUUUGUCGUAUGGACUAGACCCGAAGCCGGACGAGCUACAUAUGAGCAGGUUGAACCUUGGGUAACACCAGGGGGAGGACCGAACCCACGAGCCGUGCAACACUCGGGGAUGACUUGUGUGUAGGGGAGAAAUUCCAAUCGAGUUCGGCAAUAGCUGGUUCUCUCCGAAAUAGCUUGAGGGCUAGCGUCAUGUAAUUACAUCCAAGAGGUAGAGCUACUGAAUGGAAACUCGCGGUUCGCCGUAGAUUUUCCAAUCAAACUCCGAAUUCUUGUGAUGCGUAUCAUGGCAGUCAGAAAUCCGGCGCUAAGGUCGGAUCUCAAAAGGGAAACAGCCCAGAUCAUCAUCUAAGGUCCCUAAAUCUAUGUUAAGUGGUAAAGGAAGUGAAGUUUCUUAUACAUCUAGGAGGUUGGCUUAGAAGCAGCCACCCUUUAAAGAGUGCGUAACAGCUCACUAGACUAGAGACUUCGCGCCGAAAAUGUAACGGGGCUAAACAUAGUACCGAAGAUAUGGGAUUCAGAUUUAUCUGGAUCGGUAGGAGAGUGUUCUAUAUGCGUUGAAGCCAAAGGGGCGACCCAUGGUGGAGUUUAUAGAAGUAAGAAUGUUGGCAUGAGUAACCACAAUUUGGAUGAAAACUCCAAACACCGUAAGUCUAAGGUUUCCUGGGCAACGUCGAUCGACCCAGGGUUAGUCGGUCCUAAGGCGAGGCUGAAAGGCGUAGUCGAUGGACAGCAGGUUAAUAUUCCUGCACUAUGAUAAUAUUCGAAGGAGUGACGCAUUCUAGUAUACUCUGCGCCUUAUUGGAUUGGCGUAGCGGUUCUUAGGACGUCGUGUAGGCAAAUCCGCACGGCAUUAAGUCCAAGGAGCAACUGAACUUUCCCGUUCGCGGGAAGGAACUGAGUAAAGCAGGGUGCCAGGAAAAGCUUCUAAGGUUAAUAUUAUCGUAUCCGUACCGAAAACCGACACAGGUAGACGAGGCGAGUAGCCUAAGGUGAACGGGAGAACCUUCGUUAAGGAACUCGGCAAAAAAACUAGACGUAAG